UCCGGUUUAUCACCGGCAGUUCCCCAUGAGUCCCCAGCAUUACCUGAUGGCAACUAAGGACAAGGGUUGCGCUCGUUACGGGACUUAACCCAACAUCUCACGACACGAGCUGACGACAGCCAUGCAGCACCUGUCACUGAGCUCCCGAAGGCACCAAUCUAUCUCUAGAAAGUUCUCAGGAUGUCAAGAGUAGGUAAGGUUCUUCGCGUUGCGUCGAAUUAAACCAUAUGCUCCACCGCUUGUGCGGGCCCCCGUCAAUUCAUUUGAGUUUUAACCUUGCGGCCGUACUCCCCAGGCGGUCUACUUAGUGCGUUAGCUGCGCCACCAAAACCUCAAGGGUCCCGACGGGGUCAACUCGGAGGAAGGUGGGGAUGACGUGUCGUUACCUUA
This 390-nucleotide unclassified non-coding RNA is filed under the name uncultured Cellvibrionales bacterium. Its description in RNAcentral is "contains 16S-23S intergenic spacer region". Lineage: Bacteria; Pseudomonadati; Pseudomonadota; Gammaproteobacteria; Cellvibrionales. The record is from RNAcentral.